AGUGAACGCUGGCGGUAGGCCUAACACAUGCAAGUCGAACGGCAGCACAGUAAGAGUUUGUCUCUACGGGUGGCGAGUGGCGGGCGGGUGAGACAUACAUCAAACUCCACUUUUUCGGGGGGGAUCACGGAGAAACAUACACGAUAACAGCGCAUAAGCUCUACGGGUGAAAGCAGGAGAGCAAGACACCUUGCGCGAUUGUAUGAGCAGGUGUCGGAUUAGCUAGUUGGGGGGGUAAAGGCACACCAAGGCGACGAUCCGUAGCUGGUCUGAGAGGAUGAUCAGCCACACUGGAACUGAGACACGGUCCAGACUCCUACGGGAGGCAGCAGUGGGGAAUAUUGGACAAUGGGCGCAAGCCUGAUCCAGCCAUACCGCGUGGGUGAAGAAGGCCUUCGGGUUGUAAAGCCCUUUUGUUGGGAAAGAAAAGCAGCAGGUUAAUACCCCGCGAGGCUGACGGUACCCAAAGAAUAAGCACCGGCUAACUUCGUG
This 492-nucleotide ribosomal RNA is filed under the name uncultured bacterium. Its description in RNAcentral is "partial 16S ribosomal RNA". It matches the Rfam family "Bacterial small subunit ribosomal RNA", at positions 29 to 507 of the family's 1533-position model. The record is from RNAcentral.